This 253-nucleotide ribosomal RNA is filed under the name uncultured bacterium. RNAcentral describes it as "partial 16S ribosomal RNA". It matches the Rfam family "Bacterial small subunit ribosomal RNA", at positions 524 to 776 of the family's 1533-position model. The record is from RNAcentral.
UACAGGGGGGGCAAGCGUUGUUCGGAAUUACUGGGCGUAAAGAGCUCGUAGGUGGUUUGUCGCGUUGUUCGUGAAAACUCACAGCUCAACUGUGGGCGUGCGGGCGAUACGGGCAGACUGGAGUACUGCAGGGGAGACUGGAAUUCCCGGUGUAGCGGUGGAAUGCGCAGAUAUCAGGAGGAACACCGGUGGCGAAGGCGGGUCUCUGGGCAGUAACUGACGCUGAGGAGCGAAAGCGUGGGGAGCGAACAGG